This 503-nucleotide ribosomal RNA is filed under the name uncultured bacterium. Its description in RNAcentral is "partial 16S ribosomal RNA". It matches the Rfam family "Bacterial small subunit ribosomal RNA", at positions 28 to 523 of the family's 1533-position model. The record is from RNAcentral.
GAUGAACGCUAGCGGCAGGCCUAACACAUGCAAGUCGAGGGGUAGCAGGAUUAAGCUUGCUUAAUUGCUGACGACCGGCGCACGGGCGCGUAACGCGUAUGCAACCUACCUUAUACUGGGGUAUAGCCCGGAGAAAUUCGGAUUAAUCCCCCAUAGUACUAAUGAAUCGCAUGGUUUAUUAGUUAAAGCAUUGCGGUAUAAGAUGGGCAUGCGUCCUAUUAGCUAGAUGGUGAGGUAACGGCUCACCAUGGCUACGAUAGGUAGGGGGCCUGGGAGGGUGUGCCCCCACACUGGUACUGAGACACGGACCAGACUCCUACGGGAGGCAGCAGUGAGGAAUAUUGGUCAAUGGGCGCAAGCCUGAACCAGCCAUGCCGCGUGCAGGAAGAAUGCCCUAUGGGUUGUAAACUGCUUUUAUUUGGGAAUAAACCUCUUUACGUGUAGAGAGCUGAAGGUACCAAAUGAAUAAGCACCGGCUAACUCCGUGCCAGCCGCCGCCGUAA